This 253-nucleotide ribosomal RNA is filed under the name uncultured bacterium. RNAcentral's name for it is "partial 16S ribosomal RNA". It matches the Rfam family "Bacterial small subunit ribosomal RNA", at positions 524 to 776 of the family's 1533-position model. The record is from RNAcentral.
UACGAAGGGGGCGAGCGUUGUUCGGAUUUACUGGGCGUAAAGCGCGCGUAGGCGGUUACUUAAGUCGGAUGUGAAAGCCCUCGGCUUAACUGAGGAAGUGCACCCGAAACUGAGUAGCUAGAGUACGAAAGAGGGUCGCGGAAUUCCCGGUGUAGAGGUGAAAUUCGUAGAUAUCGGGAGGAACACCGGUGGCGAAGGCGGCGACCUGGGUCGAGACUGACGCUGAGGCGCGAAAGCGUGGGGAGCAAACAGG